UGGGGAAUAUUGGACAAUGGGCGAAAGCCUGAUCCAGCCAUGCCGCGUGUGUGAAGAAGGUCUUCGGAUUGUAAAGCACUUUAAGUUGGGAGGAAGGGCAGUAAGCGAAUACCUUGCUGUUUUGACGUUACCGACAGAAUAAGCACCGGCUAACUCUGUGCCAGCAGCCGCGGUAAUACAGAGGGUGCAAGCGUUAAUCGGAAUUACUGGGCGUAAAGCGCGCGUAGGUGGUUCGUUAAGUUGAAUGUGAAAGCCCCGGGCUCAACCUGAGAACUGCAUCCAAAACUGGCGGGCUAGAGUAGGGCAGAGGGUGGUGGAAUUUCCUGGGUAGCGGUGAAAUGCGUAGAUAUAGGAAGGAACACCAGUGGCGAAGGCGACCACCUGGGCUCAUACUGACACUGAGGUGCGAAAGCGUGGGGAGCAAACAGG
This 429-nucleotide ribosomal RNA is filed under the name Pseudomonadota bacterium. RNAcentral's name for it is "Proteobacteria bacterium partial 16S ribosomal RNA". It matches the Rfam family "Bacterial small subunit ribosomal RNA", at positions 355 to 776 of the family's 1533-position model. Lineage: Bacteria; Pseudomonadati; Pseudomonadota. The record is from RNAcentral.